Molecule: non-coding RNA, 148 nt
Organism: Gorilla gorilla gorilla (western lowland gorilla)
Lineage: Eukaryota; Metazoa; Chordata; Mammalia; Primates; Hominidae
Rfam family: Metazoan signal recognition particle RNA
About the family: The signal recognition particle (SRP) is a universally conserved ribonucleoprotein.
Source: Rfam
GCUGGGCAUGGUGGCGUGUGCCUGUAAUCCCAGCUACUCAGGAGGCUGAGGCACAAAAAUCGCUUGAACCCAGGAGGUGGAGGUUGCAGUGAGCCAAGAUCCUGCCACUGCACUCCAGCCUGGGUGACAGAGUGAGACUUUGUCUCAA